This 97-nucleotide small nucleolar RNA is filed under the name Trypanosoma cruzi. RNAcentral's name for it is "C/D small nucleolar RNA (snoRNA), TB11C3C2". The record is from RNAcentral. Lineage: Eukaryota; Euglenozoa; Kinetoplastea; Trypanosomatida; Trypanosomatidae.
UGUGAUGAGACAAUAAUAUGCUGUGAGACGUACUCCCUUAUGAUUGUAGGUUCUGGCGACGAUGCCAUGGCCCAAUUGAUUAUAGACGGCAUGCUGA